CGAGCCGUCCCCGGGGUGCGAAGUGCUGGACGUGCUCCGCCGAGGUGACGGGCCGGGGGGCGCAGCCUGGCUGCGGCGGAGGCGCAAGGGGGAUGUGAAAGCCCAAAAUGACCCUCCUACCGGGAGACAACUCCGAUUACGACUACAGCGCCCUGAGCUGCGCCUCGGACGCCUCCUUCCACCCGGCCUUCUUCCCGCAGGGCCAGUCCCUCAAGGGCGUGUUCUACCGCCGGGCGCAGCGGCUGCGACCCCGACCCCGAACCCAGGACGCGCCCCGCCAGGCGGGCCAGCCCGAGGACCGGCGGCGGCAGAUCAUCAUCAACGUGGGCGGCAUCAAGUACUCGCUGCCCUGGACCACGCUCGAGGAGUUCCCGCUGACGCGCCUGGGCCAGCUCAAGGCCUGCACCAACUUCGACGACAUCCUCAACGUGUGUGACGACUACGACGUGACCUGCAACGAGUUCUUCUUCGACCGCCACCCGGGGGCCUUCGGCACCAUCCUGACCUUCCUGCGGGCGGGCAAGCUGCGCCUGUUGCGCGAGAUGUGCGCCCUGUCCUUCCAGGAGGAGCUGCUCUACUGGGGCAUCGCCGAGGACCGCCUGGACGGCUGCUGCAAGCGCCGCUACCUGCAGAAGAUCGAGGAGUUCGCCGACGUGGUGGAGCGCGACGACGACGAGCCGCCGUCCAGCGAGGACCCCGGCAGCGAGGGCCCGGCCGAGGGCGAGGGCCGCCUGGGCCGCUGCAUGCGGAGACUGCGCGACAUGGUGGAGAGGCCGCACUCGGGGCUGCCGGGCAAGGUGUUCGCCUGCCUCUCGGUGCUCUUCGUCACCGUCACGGCCGUCAACCUGUCCAUCAGCACCCUGCCCAGCCUGCGGGAGGAGGAGGAGCAGGUAAGAGCCACAGCUGCGUGCGGGGGAGGCUCGUUGAGGGGAGGGGGGGUCCUCUGA
Leptonychotes weddellii (Weddell seal) is the source of this 947-nucleotide non-coding RNA. NCBI's taxonomy places the organism in Eukaryota, Metazoa, Chordata, Mammalia, Carnivora, Phocidae. The record is from RefSeq and is a predicted model, not a curated record.